GUCCUAAGCACGUCCUAAGCGACACAAAAAAUUACAUUUCAUUUUAGUCAUUUUCUUUUAUUGUCAGGUGAUUUCUAUGGAGCCAUGAAACAAUAGCAAGAUGAAAGAAUAAUCAGAUAUUAUCAUACAGUCUUAGCUUCUGAUAGCUUCAGUGCCUGUUUUAAUUACAUAUGCAUUGACAUUGUAGUAUCAUCAUGAAGAAGGACAGGUCUGACGAGCCGGGAGUGGCCGAGGACGGAGACCGGCCCGGCCUGCCGGCUCUGCCAAUCGAGUGCGCCGUCCUGGCCACGGUGCUGCUUCACUUGGCGCUCUGCCCAUUCACCAAGGUGGAGGAGAGCUUCAACAUGCAGGCAGUGCACGACAUCCUCUACCACCGCUUUGACUUCAGACAGUACGACCACCUGGAGUUCCCCGGCGUGGUGCCGCGCACCUUCCUCGGACCGCUGGCUCUGGCCGUCCUCUCGGCCCCCGGAGCCGCCAUACUGUCGCCCUUUGCUGGAAAAUUCGCCGUACAACUGCUGGUUCGGUUUGUGCUCGGCGCCGUCUCGGUGGCGGCGUUCUACCGAUUCCGGCAGAGCGUAGAACAGGUGUUUGGCCGUCCGGUGGCCGUGUGGCUAGUCUGCAUCACCGUCACCCAGUUCCACUUCAUGUUCUACCUGAGCCGCGCCCUGCCCAACAUGAUGGCCAUGCCGCUCGUGCUGAUGGCGGUGAGCUGCUGGAUGCGUCAGGAGCACACCCCGUUCCUGUGGUGGUCGGGCGCCGCCGUUCUGCUGUUCAGGGCCGAGCUGACCAUGCUGCUCGGUAUCCUGCUGCUGAUGGAACUGGUCACCGGACGACUGCCGCUGCUCAGGUGUCUGAAGGUAUGUAUCCUGGCCGGCCUGGCGCUGCUGCUGCUCUCGUUCACGGUCGACUCGCUGUUCUGGCGGAGACCCGUCUGGCCGGAGGGCGAGGUGCUCUGGUUCAACGUGGUACUCAACAAGUCCGCAGAGUGGGGCACCCUCCCCGCUCUGUGGUACUGGUACUCUGCCCUGCCCCGAGCGCUGGGCGCCAGCCUGGCGCUCGUCCCGGUCGGGCUGGCGCUGGACCGCCGCGCCCGCCUCCUGGCCGGCCCGGCACUGGCGUUUGUCGCCCUCUACUCGCUGCUUCCUCACAAGGAGCUGCGGUUCAUUAUCUACGUGGUGCCGCUGCUGAACGUGGCGGCGGCGCGCGCCUGUCAUGCCAUCUGGGAGGGCCGGCUGAAGUCGGCGUGGCGCUCCUACCUGGCCACGGCCAUGUGCUGUCACCUGCUGGCCAAUGUGGCGCUGACGGCUCUGCUGGCGGCGGUGGCGCGCCACAACUAUCCCGGCGGCGCGGCGCUGGGCCGUCUGCAGCACCUGGAGCCGGACGCCGCCUACGUGCACAUUGACGUGUACAGCGCGCAGACCGGGGUGACGAGGUUCCUGCAGCACAGAGACGACUGGCGGUACAACAAGACUGAGAACCUGGCGCCGGGAUCUCCCGACAUGCACUCGUUCACCCACCUGCUGAUCGAGGCGCGCGGUAAGCGCUCCUCGGCACUGAAACCCUACGAGGAGACGCACAUGAUCCUCGACUCCGUGGACGUCUUCUCACACAUCCAGUUCAACUACGACCACUUCCCGCCACUGCGACUGCGCAUGCGCCCCGCCAUAUUUCUACUGUACAACAAUGUACCGGAGAAUGUGCGAUGGCCGAAGGACGAGGAAGAACCCCAGCCGCCACCGGAGGAAAGCGAAAAAGUUGUAGAACCCGAGACAGAUGAUGUUAAAGAUCCAGUUGCUCAAGAAGAUGCUUCUGAAGUAGAGGAACCCAAGGCAGCUAACGAUGAGAUAGUUUUUACUGGCGCGGAAGAGAGCGACAAGGACUAUUCGGAUGACAUGGUAGCUAGUGAAAAGGCCGCCGAGCUGUUUCUGCCGCCGGAUGACGGCACGGCUGAUGAGGCACGGUUGUCGGACCUGCCGGCACAGGUGAUUCGCUAGCAGGGCGGCCACUGCGGGCACACAGCUCCUCAGGGGCGGGUCACCCUGCGCGCUCACAGCUCCUCAGGGGGCGGGUCACUCUACCAUUGCAGACCGCCGGUGGACCGCGCCGGCCGGGCCGCGGCAGUGGACCAAAGGUCAGGCGGCCGGGAGGGGCGCCGCCGCUCCCCCGGGCCGCUGUAGGACAGUGCUGUGAUAGAGCUACUAACACUUGCCUCCGCGCCGACUCGUGAUAACUCCCGGGGGCGGGGCGGCCACCCAACGCUCCGGUCCGUUCUAGUCACCGCGCUCACGGGUCCUUCCAUAAUACACCCCGCCGCAGCAGACGCAACUGUUUGGGGGAGAGUGAACCGACUACAGAUGUGUGGAUCAGCAGGUGAUUACGGAUCAUGUUCUGGGACAUUUGUGGAGUUUGUGCAAUCGUGGUUGAUGGUGAUUCUUAUAUUUUAACCUCGAAUGAAGACCUCCAGUGUCAUGACACUUUGCCAAAGCAAUUUGAAUGGAGUCGAACCAUCCAUCCAUUGAAUAGCUCCGUGCCACCGAUUGAAGAACUCGGCGCUUUUUCUCCCCGCUUUAUUCCUAUCCCACAGGCCUAAUGAAACAAGGAAAUCGUUAUGUGACGCAAUAGGGUGAACAAUAGGGUGAAUGCCAUCGUUGUUGACACUGACAAGCUUUAUUAACUGAACCUAUUAGACUGUUGGAUAUGUGCCGCAUGGCUGAUGUUAUUGAACGAUCGCCAAUAUUCUGGUCUCGCCAUGCCUGCCUGUUGCCAGGUGUAUGAUAUCGUUUCCCCUCGAAACCUAUGGUGAUUUCUCAUAGCUCGGAAAAAUCAACAAUAAAAUUAGGGUACAAGAACAGCCUUCACAA
This 2864-nucleotide unclassified non-coding RNA is filed under the name Amphibalanus amphitrite. RNAcentral describes it as "dol-P-Man:Man(7)GlcNAc(2)-PP-Dol alpha-1,6- mannosyltransferase-like, transcript variant X1". Lineage: Eukaryota; Metazoa; Arthropoda; Thecostraca; Balanomorpha; Balanidae. The record is from RNAcentral.